This 5454-nucleotide long non-coding RNA is filed under the name Brassica napus (rape). Its description in RNAcentral is "long non-coding RNA (BNAP_LNC013648)". The record is from RNAcentral. Lineage: Eukaryota; Viridiplantae; Streptophyta; Magnoliopsida; Brassicales; Brassicaceae.
AAGAAUUUUGGUUUGAAUGUUGGUCGAUUAUUGAUCAGAUGAACUGAAAAUAUACACCAUUUUAGUAAUAUCCAACAGAACUUUUGAAUUUGAAAAUUAAAUGUGUUCGAGACUCAGGAAUACCUUUUGAUUUUGUACGUGAUCCAUGGGUACGUCCUCGUUUCCUUUUGUACGUCUGACCGGCUGAAAUGUUGGUACAGUGAACAUGAAAGUGAAACAAUGUGUGCAAGCGUAGGUUAAAACGUUGAACAGAGCCUAGCUUAAAGUGUCGAAAGAGUUUAAAAUUAGUUUAUUGUUAAAGCAUUGCGGAGGUAGAAGAAAUGAACACGAUUAUUAGAUAUCUCAUCUUUGUGUUUUUUUUUGUUUGUUAUAUUAUUGAUUGUUAAUAAUUUAUUUUUGUUGGUUUUGUGAAGAUGCGACUUGCUGACAACAGGGAACUGUGAUGCUGCGGCUUACAGUGGUGAAUAAAGAGUUAAGAGAAAAUGGGUACAAGAAAUCACAAAAUAAAACUGUAACGUUUUGCAGUUUAUACACGUUUAUUAAUUUUAGUCUGAAGAUCUUUAGUGAUGUUCACAAAACAUGAUAUAAAUAUAAUUCACAUUUUUCUAAAUUGGUUGAAAACUUUGAUAACAGUUUUUCGUAUCUUCCAUCGUCUAUGUUUAAUUAUUAUCAUAAAAUAAACAUGUCAUAUUGACCAUAUAACAAAAAUUUAUAUUUUCGUAUAUUUUAUUAUUUGAAUUUUAGAAAAUAACUAUAAAUUACUAAUACUAUUCAAAUUCUCACAUUAAAAUUUGUGAUCAGGAGUUUAAAACUUGUAUUGUUGAAAAUAUAAAUAAUCGUAAAAUAUAUGAGUGAAAAUUUUCAUUUAAUGGAUAUUCAAAAUAUAUAUAUAAAUAUUAAAUUAAAUACCAUAUAAAAAUAUAAUUUUUUUUAUUUCAAAAAUUUUAUUGAUGAUUUACUGUGUAUAUUCAAGAGCUGUUAAGAAUUACUAAGAUUAUUAAAAGCCUCACAUUAAUUUUUUUGUUAUCACGAGCUUACAAUUUUUGUUAUAAAAGAUGCAUAAAAUCGUAAAGCCAUAUGAUUAUUAAUUUUCAUUUAAUAGAUAUCUAUAUUUAAAUUCGUUAUAUAUUUAUGUUAAUAUCAUUUUUGCCCAAAAUAUUUUUUAUAAAAAACUAAUUUAUGUUAUUAUCAUUUAAAUUUAUAUAUAUCUAUACAAAAUACAUAAAAAAUGAGUGUUUAGAUUCAUCUACCCUAUAAUUUAUCAUUGCUCAAUUUUACUAUUUAAUUAAAUGCUAAAUAUAUAAAGAUAUUUUUCUUAAUAUUUGUAUUUUAAACACAAUACUUAUAAUUUGAAAAAAUAAAUAUUAAACAUAAUGAUAUAAUUUUAGCCUACAAUUUACUUCACAUCUCAAUAACAACUUACAAAAAACUAAUAACUUCUCACUUAUAUUUAUAUAAAUAAUCAAUUAUAAUAAAUAUAAAAUGCACCACAUAAGUUAUUAUAUGAUAAUAACUUCCAGUACAAAAGCAUGUAUACUCAGAAAGAAAUGAUGUAAUGCCACCGUAAGGAAAAAACAUAAAUAAUUAUCAACAUAGCAUAGCUUAUUUAGUCUUUAAAAAACUUGUAUAAAAUUAAACUAAUAUAUAUAUUUUUAAUCAAUAAAAAAUUAUAUGAAAUAUUUACUCUAACAAUUUAAACUUUUUAAAAAUAUUCAUCCUGCGGGCCGACAAACUAUUUUUUGAGCAUUUUUUACGGAGUUGUUAAAGUAAAAUCUUAGUUAUAGUGUUGCGGCAAAUAUUAUUUUUUAUUUUAUUUAAAUUAAUAAGAAAACGUAUUGCAUAUGGUUGUUAAUUUAAAUCUUUAUAUAUCUAAUCUAUUAAAACUGAAGUACAAAUAUGAAUUAACCCUUAAAAUAACUUUUUGUUUUUAUUUAUUUUUAUAUAAAUAUCUAAUUUAUUAAAACUGAAGUACAAAUAUGAAUUAACCCUUAAAAUAACCUUUUAAUUACACCUAAUGCCAUUUCCAUUUUUCAUUUUAACCAUAAUUAAUUUUAAUAAAUGAACUUACAAAAAAAACAUAACAAAUAUCAGUUUCCUUCAAAAUUAUAUUUGUUACACUAAAUUCCCUAAUAUUAUGCUAACGUCAAUCUUUCAUUUCCUAAAAUAAAAUAUUGCAAUCUUUUUUCAAAAAAACAUUAGUGGUGUCAAACAUUAAGCCAUUUAAUAUCCUUUGGAUUUCAUUUUUUCAUGUGGUCAAGCGAAUAAUUAAACCAAAACGUAAAUAUAUAUAUUUUAUUUAGACAUAUAAUUGUUCAGUUGAUACCUUGAAAUCAUUUGAAACAUGUUUAAUAUUUAGCCAUCUUUUCCACUUAGCAUAAAUGUUUUUAAUAUAAAUCUUAACAUAUGUACUGAUAAAUUUUAGUUAUAUCUUAUUGUUAUUAAUAGAUUUAUACAUCAUACAUCUAUUAUUAUUUACAUAGUUAUUGGGUUCAUACGUAAAUUUGAGGUCAUUGGAAAUGUUUCAAAAAAACCAUCCAUUUUUUUAAGUUAAAUACAUGUAUAUAUAAUUAUAUAGUUAUCAACCACUGUUAUUUCUUGGUUUAUAUAUCAUACAUAUAUCAGUUUGUAUACAUCAUACAAGUGUCAGUAUUGAUAUUUAUAUACUAUUGUUUAUACAAAAAUAUAUAUUAUCUUAUUGCAAAUGGACAUGUAUAAAAUUAUACUGUCAAGUAUAUUAGUGUAAAAAUACUAAAAAUUCAUUUAUGAUGCACUAACUAAAUAUUUUAAAUUGAAAUAUAAAUAAUAUCACAUUUACACUAGAGUUAAUGGCAAAUUUGGCUAGAAAUAAUCACUAACUAGAUCUCGAUCCGUGCAACCACGCAUGCUUUUGUUUUAUUUAUUUUUAUAUAAAUAUCUAAUUUAUUAAAACUGAAGUACAAAUAUGAAGUACUUAAAAUAACCUUUUAAUUACACCUAAUGCCAUUUCCAUUUUCCAUUUUAACCAUAAUUAAUUUUAAUAAAUGAACUUACAAAAAAAACAUAACAAAUAUCAGUUUCCUUCAAAAUUAUAUUUGUUACACUAAAUUCCCUAAUAUUAUGCUAACGUCAAUCUUUCAUUUCCUAAAAUAAAAUAUUGCAAUCUUUUUUGAAAUUAGUAAAAUAUUGUUUUAUUGUCAUAUUCAAAGAUAUUGUAACAUUUCACAAAUUUAGAAAUUUUUUUAAAAAUUAAAAUUUUCGCUUCAUAGAUUUAUAUUAUCGAGUAAAUAAUUAAAUAUUUAGUUUUCGUUUAAUUUUUAGAAUAAACUAUAUAGUUUAAAAUUUGUUUUCAUUGGUGUAAGGUAGUAAAGAUCAAUCAUUGUUAGAUAAUAUGAUUUUUUUUUAUUUUUUUAAAAAAUCUUUAUAAUUUUAAAAGUUAACAUCGACAAAUAUUUAAAUAUUUAACAUAUGGAGUUAUUGUAUUACAACAUUAAAUUAUAUCUAUUUAAUUUAUACUAUCUAUAAAUCCAAUGGAUCAUAUAUUCUUUAAAUCUAAUUAUUGAUAGCCCAAUAAAAAUUUCUGGUAGGCCCAAAAUUUAAAUGAUAAGAUUAGAGAUAAUUAAAUGUAACAUAACUUUCUAGGAAUAGAUCCAUUAGGUCCAUUUUUAGAUAUAUAAGAUCUUGGAUUCUUGAUCAAAGGUAAAUGAACAACCAAAAUCUAAAUUAUUCCACCAAAUUAGCAUAUCCAAUAUAUAAGUGAAUAAAACAUAAAAUGUCUCAAUAAUAAUUUAAAAAAAAAACAUAUAAUAUAAGAGAUUUUGUUUAAUUUUUUUUAGGAGAUAAUUAAAGGUUUCAUAUUUAAAUAAACACAAUCUUCAUAUCUUAUCAUUUUUUAUUAUUACUCAUAAAUUUCUUUUAUUUUAAGACUUUAAACUAAUUAUGUUUUGUGUAAAUGUUGCAAAUGUUAUAAGUUUAUAUUGGGUAUAUAAAAUAAAUUUUCAUCCAUAUAAAAGUGAAUAAUAUAUUUGAUUACUUUUCUACAAAAUCUGUAUAUUUUUAAAAUAUAAUUUUGCUUACUUGAAUAUCAAAAGACCUAAAAACAACCAAUACUACCUAUGUAGAAACAUUUAAAACUGCAAUCAAUCGUAAAUUUUGAUUAUAAAAAAUGGAAACACCCGUGCGGACGCACGGGUCAAACUCUAGUUUUAGGAUUAAUGUUAUUUGUUCAUAAAUUAAAUGUAACAUAACUUUCUAGGAAUAGAUCCAUUAGGUCCAUUUUUAGAUAUAUAAGAUCUUGGAUUCUUGAUCAACUGUAAAUGAACAACCAAAAUCUAAAUUAUUCCACCAAAUUAGCAUAUCCAAUAUAUAAGUGAAUAAAACAUAAAAUGUCUCAAUAAUAAUUUAAAAAAAAAACAUAUAAUAUAAGAGAUUUUGUUUAAUUAUUUUUAGGAGAUAAUUAAAGGUUUCAUAUUUAAAUAAACACAAUCUUCAUAUCUUAUCAUUUUUUAUUAUUACUCAUAAAUUUCUUUUAUUUUAAGACUUUAAACUAAUUAUGUUUUGUGUAAAUGUUGCAAAUGUUAUAAGUUUAUAUUGGGUAUAUAAAAUAAAUUUUCAUCCAUAUAAAAGUGAAUAAUAUAUUUGAUUACUUUUCUACAAAAUCUGUAUAUUUUUAAAAUAUAAUUUUGCUUACUUGAAUAUCCAAAGACCUAAAAACAACCAAUACUACCUAUGUAGAAACAUUUAAAACUGCAAUCAAUCGUAAAUUUUGAUUAUAAAAAAUGGAAACACCCGUGCGGACGCACGGGUCAAACUCUAGUUUUAGGAUUAAUGUUAUUUGUUCAUACAUGAUUUUUUUUUCAUUUGCUAAGGUUCAAUAAAUUUAUAAAAAAUACUUCUUUCAUCCUAUAUAAUUAUGUUCACAAAUAUGUAUUUACUAUAGAAAUUAUUUUAUUAAACCCUCAGUUUCAUUGCAUGUUUUCUAUUGUCUUUGUAGUUAAGUGUAGCCUCCUUCUUACUUCAUUUUUAUUCUCGAUUUAGGAGUUUGUCUUUGUAUAAUAAUAAUUUCGUCAUUUAUGUUUCCACUUUUUUUUGGGCCAUCUUUUCUAUCUAUGUUUAAUUAUAUUCAGCUUCUAUCUUCAAUUCUUUUCAUAUUUAUAUUUUUAUAUUAUUUUUGUCAAAUUCUUAUAUGAAAGAUUUUGAGUUAAAAAGUUACUUUGCAACUUUAUGUGUUGAAUGAGCAGAAUCGCUAACUAAAACUAAAUUAUGGUUUAAUUUGGAUUGGAUAUUCCAAUUCCUUGACCACAAAGAAACUGAAACCCCAAAAAAGAAAAACAAAAUUGCUGGAUCCUUCUAAUUUUUUAUUUUCUGAGAGAAAUAGGCAGAAGAUUAUGUAUUUACCUGAAGCUUCGAUGGGUUGAUCAUUAGGUGGGUUAUCCAUUCCGUUGAAACAGCGAUCCUCACAACCAACUUAUUCCUGAC